Molecule: long non-coding RNA, 768 nt
Organism: Pogoniulus pusillus (Red-fronted tinkerbird)
Lineage: Eukaryota; Metazoa; Chordata; Aves; Piciformes; Lybiidae
Exons: 2
Source: RefSeq, a predicted model, not a curated record
UGUGUAAAGCUACCAGCAGGUGAGAGUGAUUCCUGGUGCCGAGGCAGUGCUGGUGUAAGCAGAGAGAAGGGAAGGAUGAACGCAGCACCACCAGGAUGUACAUUUGUGCUCUCUCUCCUGCCAGUGGCUUGGCAAGAGGCUGUGCAAUGACCUGCACAUGAUGAAACAGACCUCCUGAGCUCCCCACCUCGCUGUGAACUCGGCAGCUCCUUCCAGACUGUGUUCACUGACCAGGAAAGUGGCGUCUGGCUGAGGGGUGAAGCUGCCAGGUGCUGCAGGAGGCAAGGUGCUGGCUGUCCCUAAAGCACGGCAACCUCCUGGCACCUCUGACCACUGGGCAUCCUGGGCACAGGCUGAAGAGGACACUGCACUCCAGAAGGAGCAUUUCCCUUCCCCCUUGCCAUCAGGCUUUAUUAAUUCCUGGCUUGGUGAAGUCUCUAUUAAUAAUGGCUCCAGGAUCUGGCUGGUGUUUGGAGAGGGGAUGCUCCCUCCUGCAGGCGAGCAGCAAAGUCUGGUUAUUUACUGGUGUUGGAGGAGAUUUAUCAACCCUCAGGAAUGCCAAGUGCAGCUCCAAUUGCUCCUCGAUUUGCUGGUUCUCAUUUUCUCCUCUUGGGGUUGGAAAUUCAGAAGAGCCUGGCUGCCAGACAGCUUUGGCAUGGGAAGGUGUGGGAACAGGCUGUGCCUGCAGGCUGCUCUCCCCUUGUCUGGGAGUAAAUCUAAGAGGGAAAGACCCCAAACCUUUGUGCCGUGAGGAGCUGCCUGGGUUUG